RNAcentral lists this ribosomal RNA (245 nucleotides) under uncultured prokaryote. RNAcentral describes it as "partial 16S ribosomal RNA". It matches the Rfam family "Bacterial small subunit ribosomal RNA", at positions 524 to 768 of the family's 1533-position model. The record is from RNAcentral.
UACGGAGGAUGCGAGCGUUAUCCGGAUUUAUUGGGUUUAAAGGGUGCGUAGGCGGCCGAGUAAGUCAGCGGUGAAAUUUUGCAGCUUAACUGUAACAGUGCCGUCGAUACUGCAUGGCUAGGAUUUGGUUGCUGUGGGUGGAAUGUGUGGUGUAGCGGUGAAAUGCUUAGAUGUCACACAGAAUAUCAAUUGCGAAGGCAGCUCACAAAGCCAAGAUUGACGCUGAGGCACGAAAGUGUGGGGAU